UUGAAGGUUCAGACCUGAAAGUCAUUUAAGAAAUGAGCAUCCAUUUUGAUGGCUGCUAAUAGCGACAGUUAACCGUUUCCAUUCUACACAUAAACUGUGGGAGCUUUUCCAUCAGAGGCAUUGUUUUUCUCUGAAGGGGUGAAACGGUAAGGCUGCACACAGCCUAAUGCAGUGGUGUUCAACUUGAGCAUAUGUGGGAGUUACCUGGAGGCUUUGCUGAAACAUGGAUCUCUGGCCUGUGUUAACCCCGCAGUUUCCGAUGCUGUAGCUUUGGGGCGCGGCCCAGGCUGUGCAUUUCUAGUGAGUCUCCGCAUAAUGCCGAUGCUGCUGGCCGGGGGACCACCCUGUGAGGACCCUGCCCCAGGUGAGACUCACCUGGGGAGGAUUGAAAAAUUACCUGUUGGGCCUCACCCCAGACCCAUUGAAGUGAAACAUGAGAUGGCUAGGAGGCAGGGACGGACAUUUUUCAGAGUUGUCCAGGUGAUUUGAAUGUGCAGCCAGGAUUUACAAUCAGUGCUUUGGAGAAAACAAGGGAAAGACAACACAGGUCUUCUCAAGAACAAUUGGAUAGGAGAGUGCCUGGUAUUGUUCUUCCCGUUCUGAUCAAAUAUCCAUGAGGAGAGAGAGCUGAUGCAGAAUGCAGCCAGUGGUGCAUUCUGGCUGUCUAAACUUUGAAUGGUGUUUGGGGUCGGGGAGAUGAGAGGGAAAGGUGAAUGCUCAAUUCGGGAGACUUUAUUUAAUUUUGUAGUUGUUUUCUUUGUAGGGUUCCUAGCAGGAUAGAGGCUUUGUGGGAACAGUGAAACAUAUAGUAAAAUUUGGAUGCCGGAUUAGAUGUGAGCCUAAGGUGUAAACAGUCUUCAAGGGUCAUGAGAUGAGGAUCAAGGUGGGCUGGAGAUUCACAGCCUUUUGUUCUUAAAUAGACCAGUUUAGUGCUAUCUAAAUCCAGUAUCUGUUUUAUAGUAUACUUAGGACUGUCGGUCCAUAGGAUUUAAAAUUAUAGCUGUGGGGUGAACUCCCUGUUAUUCUAGUGUAAUAGAGAAAAGCUAUUUCCUUUAUUAAAACCGUAUGCUAGAAGAUGAAAAGAGUCACAGAGAAUUAUCAGGAGUGUGGUGCUUCAGCAUCCAAUUAAAUCAUUGGAAGUCGCCAGAAUGUAUCCUGUGAACAGUGAUUCUCAGCUGAAGGUCACUUUGGUUGGAGUUACUUAUACACUAUUGCUAGUGUGUCAGAAAGUUGAAGGAUUAGCUGCCUUAUAAGACACAGACCAUUAUAAACACAGCAGCAGCAGCAGCAGCAGCAGUAUAAUUGAGUGGGGAAAAACACACAUAUUUAUGGUCUGCACAAAUGGGUAUAUGCCAGAGUGAACAUGAAAGUAAAUUACAUCUUGCCCGAAUCUGAUUCUAAUCAGAAAACAGCCAAGAACAUAACACCUUUUCCUGCUUUCAGUGGAGCUGGUGGGACAAACCUGGACUGGGUGGAGCUGGGGCCCCAGCAGUGGUCUCUGCCAUAGCAGGCGCCAUAAGCUGGAAUUUGUGCCUCCAGGCCUGGAGGGACGCAAGGCGUUUCUGAUGAAGCCGAUACAUUCAGAAUUGGGGUCCAAAUAGGAAAUAAUGCCCUUUUCAGGCUAGUGAAAAUGUUGAACUCUAAGAGAUAAGUUUAUUUAGAGACUGGAUUGAGCUUUCGUUUAAGAUUUCCCACCUGCGUAAAAUUCCUUUCAGCCCAUAGGAUUCUUGAUUCUGAAGUCCAGACAGAAGCCUGUGUUCUGUAGCUGCUGAACAAAGAUGAGAGAUCAUUGGGGCUGCUGUUUGUCCGAAGUUUGUGUGGGUAUCAUGAUGAACCCUCUUCUAAGAAGUAAAAGGACUCUUAAAUCAAAAUAGACAACUGCAGUCAGUCCACCAUGCGCAACGACAUUUAAAAAAAAAGAGAUAUCUGCCCCAUUGGGUUUCUAGUAAAGUAAGUUGAACACAGAGAACAGCAGAAUAGGAAAGGCUAGUGUCACCUUGGUCUACAUAGCACCAAAGUUGUGGUCCGUUGAGACAGAAAGGAAGCAUUUAGGAACUUGGGAUAAAUAUCCACUUUUAUUUAACUCAUACAUGCACUAGAAAUUUGUUUGGGACGCUCAUAAAUACAGAGUUCACAGUAGAUCAGUGUCCUUUGAGGAAAUGAUUUGUAGAAGGCCGACUUGCAAAGCAUUUCUUUGAAGAUGAAAUAGAGAAAGCACUUCCUGGGCGGCCCCCUGCCCUGCCUGGCUCUUAGAAGUGGCCUGUGUUUCCACCCUGAGCUCUUCCUGUUCUGCAUGGGAAGACCUCGUUAGUGAUGCUGAUGCAGAAUAAUUUGGGGGUUAUGUGGGUAAUGUUUGGUAUUUGCAUAAGUGAUAGCAGAGAGGUAAGGUUCCAGCCAUGUCUGGCACUUGUUUACAAUAGAAUCAUGAAUGGGGGUGGGCUUUCAAUGCAAGAGCCAGUUAAAAAGUAUAUCUCAGGUACAUCUGUUUUUAUUAGUCCAGAGCAAACUCUAGAUUAUGCAUCUUAUUUGAGGGCAGGUUAAGGUUACUUAUCAUGUGUUUUUGGUGUGUGUGCAUGUGGAAAACUCUAACCAAUUUGUUAGGUUUCGUUGUUGUUUGGGAAUUGGAAAGACGCUACGAAUUUCCUGUGCUUUAAAACUGAUUUUUAAAAUUAACUUUAUAUGUUUUUGUGUUAGGAUGGUAGAUUGAUGAAUGCCAUAAAAUUUGCUGUUUUAGUAUUCCUUUUUAGUGAUUUUAGGGAUUUUAUUCUAAAAUUGGCAUAUAUAUAUGUAUGUAUGUAUAAGACAGAUUAGAUCAGAAUUACUACUGAAAGUAUCCAUAUUUAAAUUUUGUUGAAUAAAAGGAUUAUCAUUUCUUAAGGGGAAAGAAUGAUAAGAGAUAUGUUUCCAAAGGGACAAUAAAAUCACGAUUUAUGUUGAAAAGUUUUGCCUUUUGAAGUCGUAAAGCAGAGAAUUUUCCUAAAUUCAGAAAUCCAGUGAGGUGAUUGACAAACCACACAAGCUUUCUGUUUGCUGUGGCGGGUGCUAGUUUGCUUUAGUUGGCUGGCUCUGGCCAUAAUAAGACAAUAGCGUGCACUGCUGCUGCCCUAUUCGCAGGAGCAGACAACUAAGGUGCUAAUGAAAACACACACGGGCUUUCGUGAAUGAAAGUCACAUGACUUGUUCUGUUUCCUUUAUUGAAAGAGAAACCUUUACAAAAAUAGUACUUCAUAGAAGGAAGCAUAGUAUGUGGAACACUAAACCAGGAAUCAGGAAACCAGGUUUCUAGUUGCUGAUCUUAAUGAGUCAUUGUGUGUCUAUGGGAGAGCCACUUAAUCCUGCCUUCUCACUUUCCCUGUCUGUAAAAUGGGGGUAAUUAUAAUCCUCCCCUUUCUGUGUCACAAGGCCGCUGGAAGGUAAAUGAGGUCAUAAACAUCAAGAGUGUUUUAAGCUCUUCUAAAGGAAGAUGCUAAUAAAUCCAGUUGUUGAUACUUAUUGCUUUGAAACCAUGAAUGUAUACAGGAAAGACACUUUUGUAAAUGGGUACUCUUAAAUUGAAACAAACAGUAACAGCAUAGUCUGAAAAUGGAGCCAGCACCUUAAAAAUUGCUUACCUUUACUGCUUAUUGCUAGUUCCGCUCCAGGCUCCCAAGAGCCAUUGUUUUCCCCCUUUAUGUAACUUAAGAUCUGUUCAUAGAUAUUUAUGAACAGAUUGUAACAAAGUAGUGUUCUAAAUUACAUAGAAAAGUAACAAUUAGGGAAAACAGUAUGGUAAUCCUGAAACUAUGUUAAGACUGAACUUCUGAUUACCUUUUAUGACUUGUUUUUAUAUUAAGAGAUGUUGACAAGAUGAAAAUGUAUAAUUACAAUAUACAUUUUAAAAAUCGCCUCUUAAUGCCGAAUGCAUUGAAAGAAAAACAGAACCCUGAGGUUGUUUGACUACUCAUUGUUUAGUCUGGGGGUUCAUUCUUUGGGGUCGAUUUAAUGAGGGUGGUCAUUCCUGCAGUUUUGAUGGUAGCACUGUGCUUAUCAAACAUAGUAGGAAAAUGUGUGAUUGUUUUGUUUUUCUACCACCCAAAAAGGAAUCUUAGUAGAGAAUUGAUAUUUUAUUUUCUUUAGAAGUAUGAGUAUUUAAAAUGAGGCUCUUUUUUCUGAAGAGAAGAACUUGGAAAAGUUUUAGUAACAGCAUGAGUAUAAUGGGUUUUCUGUGAAAAUUCCCACUAAUGCAUUUUCUUUAGAAGCAUAGUUCUAAGAGCUAAUUUUGGUAUCAGAUUUGGCAAGUAGAAAGGGUUUUUGUUUGUUUGUUUUGGUUUUUUUCUAGGGGGAGUAGCACAGAAUCAAGUGUUCCCAUUUCACCUUAUAAACUUAAGGGAAAAUGUAACUUUAUUCUUUCAUCUGCAUUGCCAAGUAGAAUGAGGAAAACACUGGGUGAAGCAAAGUGCUGUGCCCCCCGCCCCCCAACCUGCAUUUGGACAGCUGUAAUGCAGGUGGAUUCUGUUUCAUUUCUCUAGUACGGAUGACAGCAGAAUGUAUAUUUCUAUACAAAAUGAACAAAACAUUUUAAUGUUGGCGUUUUAAUGAACAAAUGAAAACAAAAUUUUCUGAAUGUCCAAAAGUAUUGGUUAUAAACAUAUUAACUGUCAGAUCAUGAUUUUUGUGAAAAGAAUGCUGUCCAAGUUUAGAUAGGGACACUCUUUCUAUAUUUAGUUUGAGUGGGUUCUUCAAGAUUGCAGUGGUUAUUCUGACUCAUUUAAGGUAGAUUAUUAUACGCAGAGUUCAGUGCUAGACUUUUCUGAAGAAAACUAGUAAAGUCAUCAUUUGGCAUGGAGGAGAUGAUGGGGUUGAUGAUUGCUACUGAUUUCAAUUUCUUUCAAGAUAGCUACAGAGACUUACAUUAACUGGGUGCUAAAAUACAAUGCAUAGGUGAAGGUUAGUAUAGAAAGAGUUGGAGUAUAUGUUGUGUACCAACAUUUUGCUCUGUAGGUGCAAAUAAUGCAAGAUACUUCUGUGUGUUAUAGCUUUAUUACUUAAGUGAAUUCAUUACAUAAGAAUUCUGAAAUAGAUUGGAUUAAAACUUAUAGGUUACAUGUUUACAAAUGAUAAAAUAGUCAAUUUGGUGGUUCUGAUUAAUUUUCUAUUAGACUAGAAAAAUACUAAGUUUGUAUAGAGUCACUUUUAUGUGUCCAAAGACACUGUAAAACUUGAAUGGGUAAAGGCGAAGCCUUGGAAACUCUGUCCAGUUUUCUUAUGUCAUAUAUGAUAUCUAUAUACACAAAUAAGGUUUAUAAAAUAUUCCUUGCUUACUGUGUUUUUACUGAAAUUUGGAAUAUUCGAUCAAAUAUUUUGACCCACGAUAUAUUUUUUAAAAAUAAGUGAUCACAUGCAUUGCACCCUGUAAAUGCUGGGGGUUUUUUUUUUUGUUUUUGUUUUUGUUUUUUUUUUGAGACAGAGUCUCGCUCUAUCACUCAGUCUGGAGUGUAGUGGUGUGAUCUCGGCUCACUGCAACGUCCACCUCCCGGGUUCAAGCGAUUCUCCUGCCUCCGCCUCCUGAGUAGCUGGGACUAGAGGUGCAUGCCACCAUGCCCUGCUAAUUUUUUGUAUUUUUAGUAGAGAUGGGGUUUCACCAUGUUAGCCAGGCUGGUCUCGAUCUCCUGACCCCGUGAUCUUCCCGCCUCAGCCUCUCAAAGUGCUGGGAUUACAGGCAUAAGCCACUGCGCCCGGCCUAAUGCUGGAUCUUUUAAUAUUCAUUUUAAAGAGUAUCAGGUUUUCCAGCAACAUGUAUUUGGGGCUGGUGUGUGUGUGUGUGUGUGUGUGUGUGUGUGUGUGUGUGUGUUUCCAUAAUAUCUCAUCCAGUCAUGCUCCAGGAGGCUGGAUAUGAUAUUUUUCUCCAUAACUGAAAUUCAAGUAUUAAUGAUGUGUUCUUUGUUCAUGUUGAAACUUUAUAACUUAAGCAUAGUCUACUGCUGCUUUAUCCCUAUACAGUUAGUACAAAUACUUGAGUCAGUUAUUACGGUGUGGUAUGAAAUUUCAAUUGUUUUCAAUGCAUAAAAACAGAUAUUAUGAUAUAGUUCAUUAUACUAUGUGAUUUUGUUACUUUACAAUCCUAUUAUACUAUGUGAUUUUGUUACCUUAAAAUCCUUAUGUUUAUGUUAAGAAUGACUCAUUCUUCGAUGAGCAUGGUGGCUCAUGCCUGUAAUCCCAGCACUUUGGGAGGCUGAGGUGGGUGGAUCAUCUGAGGUCAGGAGUUCAAGACCAGCCUGGCCAACAUGGAGAAACCUCAUCUCUACUAAAAAUACAAAAAUUAGCCAGCCAUGGUAGCAUGCACCUGUAGUUCCAGCUACUCAGGAGGCUGAGACAGGAGAAUCACUUGAACCAAGGAGGCAGAGGUUGCAGUGAGCUGAGAUCGUGACACUGUACUCCAGCCUGAGCAGCAAAGAGUGAAAUUCAGUCUCAAAAAAAAGAAAGAAAGAAAGAAAGAUUUUGCAUAGUAUUAAUGCUUAAUCUUUAAUAUUUAAGAAUAUGAAAUAGUGCUUUCUCUAUGCAUUCUAUGGACUUAAAUAAGUCAAUCUUUGGCCUCCAAAGUAUAAGUGUAACAGAUAAUCCUGCAACUUGGUAGACAACUGGCAACUGAAGAUUUUGAAAGAAUCUUAUUGAAGUUGAAUGCAAUGACGAGGUACCAUUAUUCUGAUCAAUAUUGACGGAUAACUGCCUGCCACUCUUCUCUUGGGGUUAAAAGAGUUGUGUAAAAUUCAAAAGGUGUUUUUCUUCCCUUUAUAGUGGUAAGACAUUUUCCUAUAUACAAUAUUGUAUAAUAUUCCAAAAAAUCCUAUGGCAUAGGCAGAACCACCAUGAACCCCAUUCUUUGGAAUCAAGAACCUACAGUGUAGAGAGGCCAGAUGACUUGCUCCAGAUCUCUGAGCCAAAAGGAGAAGGAGUGUCGGGUUCAACCUCAUAAUAUCUUGGUAUCCCUAGCCCAGUUCUCUAAUGUCAUAUUGUCUGCUUGGGAAGCUCAUAUGCAAUAAUUACAUUAGGAUUUUAUUCUAGACCCUUGCCUCAAGCAACAUUUAAGUUAAUAUUUUGCUGGAGUGAUAGUUAAUCUCCCCCCCUUUUUCUUCCACUGGGUAUCAAUUCAAAGAAAAAUGGGGACCAUUGAGGAGGAAGACUGGUAGGAAAGCACUCUAUUUAUUGUAAUCAGUUUUUACAUCCACCGGUUUGGAGAGUUUAGUAUUUGAUACUAUUUUCAAGGCUGUGAUGUUACUAGUGAAUUUUAAAGUUGACAAUCAAGUUGGUGAUGGAUCUGUUCUGGGGACUCCAGUCAUGCUUCCUGGACCUCUAGAUGUGUCAACAAAGUGGAAAACUUAGAUUCCUCUGGCUGUCUUUCAUUACCUCUUGGUAAAGCAAACUGUAUAUGAUACUUGGUAAGAUACCUCCCCGCCACCGCCACCAUCAAAUACAUUAAAACUCUUGCAACUCAGGUGGUGACAAUACGAAAAAAAUAUACAAGGGUGUUCUGAGAAGGAAGAGUUGAGAACCGUUGAUAGAAUGUAACUUAGUUAUUUAAGGUUGUGAAAACAGAGGCUGUGUGAGGUCCGGAGUCUUAGUCAAGGUCACUGAUUCAAUUAGUGGUAGAGUUGUUUGUAGAUAUCAUCAAGAAAGAGUAGGAGAAUGUGAUACAAACAAUGACACAUCUCAGUUGGUUCUUUGUAUCUUGAUGAAUAACUUUCUCCCAGGAUACAGCCUAUGCUCUUUAGAACAACUUUGUAUUUGUAGAAAUGAUAUUAGUCUUUUUACUUUGGAAUAUUUUAGUAACUUUCUUCAUCCAUAGACUAAAAGAAACCCUGAAAGCCAGAAAUAGAGCAUGCAGAAUUCCUUAAUGAAGAAACGCGUUAUAAAUCAGAGAAAUAUGGCUGUUCAUGACUAUGUGGACGGUGUUUACUGAGUGGGGAGAAGAUUUGGCAAAUAUUUAGGGUCAUGUAUUUACUUUGUUAAAGAAAAGGAAACAAAGUUAUUGUUUCAUGAAGACCCCCAGUGAAAUCUAAAGGCCUAGAUUAUCUAGCAGAAUUGAAGGCGGCUUCUGUGUAACAGGUUCAGCCUGGGCGGUGACACAGUGAUGAGUCAGCGGGUGUGUUCGGUCACUGCUCUCUGUGUCUCUAAGACAGGUGCUUGUUCUAUAAGUGAAAUAUCAUAUAUUCCCCAUUAUGCAUAAGUCCAUUAACAUUUUUCUAAGAAAUGAGUCAUUAACCUAUUUAAUGAGUUUAUUUGAAAACUAAUCAAUUUAGAAUUUGCCUAAGGACCAAUAACUAACUAAUCAGUUGUUGCUAGGUGGUUAUCUUCUGGGGAAUUGAGUAUUUUGUCAGUGCCUUUUUAUUUUUAACAGCCCUUGUUUUUUUCCUUUUUUUUAAUUCUCAGGAAAAAAAUCAUUUAGCUGGAUUUUUAUAUGAAGAUAAAUAGUUUUCAUACAAAUUUAAUUUCACAGAAGCUGCCAUUAUUCUAAUGACGUGGGUAUAACCUCACUUUCAAAAGGAGAAAGAAACACUUUAGCAAACACAUAAAAAUUCUUAAGAUAUUCACACUUUAAAAAAUGUAAUAGGCAAAUCUGUGGCCUGGAACUCUUGUGGGCAGUGCAGUGUUUGCUUUGUGUGAGCUGUCAGGCCCCUCAGCAUCAAGAGACAGUACCUCCUUCCUGGCCAGCACCCCCAGCGGUGAGCCCCGUGACCCACCAAACAGCAGGUGAGAUUGGAGACCUGGCUGGAUGAGCAAAGCAGGAAAGCAGUUUUGCUACCCGGGCGAAUGGAGUUACGGACCUUCUUCCAGGUUAAGAAGAAAGCCAUGUUCGGAGUGCCCUGUGUUGCAGUGAUGGGUUUGUUGAGCACCCACCAAUUUAGUCAGGAAGACUGUUGCAGACGUGUGGUCUGGGGGUCUUCAUGAAUCGGCCAGAAGCCUUUUCCCCAGCAAGGUUUGGGUGCCUCUGGGAACUUUUGCCUUCUGCAGAGGACCUGGGAAGAGCGUGCACCUACCUGCACCGCUCCGUGCUAUGAACCACCGAAAAUAGGGACUGAAGUCAGGGACCAUCUGACCCCGUGAAUUCCUGGGUCUGCGGCAGAAGCCGCCCCCGAUCCCAUCAUCUCAGUGGCCACCCUCACCCAUGACUGCCCUGCGCUGCCUGGGCCCAGCGCAUGCUGGGUGAGCCUCCCUGCCCUCCUUUCUUUGUUUGGGACUUCCCAUACCCAGAUGGAUGGAUAAAUAAGGGGAAUUGUGAAGCAGGGAGAAAAGUUUUGGAAAUAGGCCAGAAUUUCUUUACUAAAUUUAAAAACCAUGCCCAUAAUCCUUUAGAAACUCCACGCAAUAAGCAGGAUUAAGCAAGUCGUGGAUUAGAGUGUAUUGAGCAGAGACUGUUUUUGUUUGAAGAGGUCAGAAAUGGAGGUACUGGGACCCUAGUAUACUGUGGACAUUGCAGGGCUUCUGAACUUCCCAGACAGCAGAAAUUCCUGGAAAAGAAGAGUCUUGUGGUCAGUUUCUUACCCCACACCUUUGGUGCAUUUAAAAAAAAUAAAUUACUAAAGUGCUUUGCUUCAGUUUUAUUCUGGUAUGAUAGUAGGUAUUCACUUUUUAUUGUCUUCCUGCAUAAAAGCAACCUAAAAUAACAUUUUACACACGCAAAUGAAACAGAAAACAAAUCCAUAAGCUACCCAUACCCUCUUCCAGUUCUAUAUAUCAGGUGAGUGUGCUGAGACUUGUACAAAUAACUUAUGUUGUCAAGUAGACAUCUACUAAAUGUAUAGUUCAACUGAAAGUAUAUUUGGGUAUGCUUUAGCAAAAUGUAUUAGUUGCGAAAGUACCAAAUCUCUUUUUCUCUUUUAAAGUAUUAUAAAUCCAGGAUUGUAAAUUUAUUUUAAUUGCAGUCAGUUUCAGAAAACUAACUUUAAUUUAGCUGGCUGAGAAAGCAAAAGAGAAAAAAUUAAAAUAUUAAUGUUGAACUGCAUGAAAAUACUAGAUACAAAGGCUACACAAAACCCUUUUAGAUAUAAACAUCCAUGAAUUUGCAUUCAUUGAUGCAAAGACAUUGUUGAGAUUAUUUGUUCUGACAAGUUUUUUAAAUGAGAAUUUUCUCCUAAAGGUUUUGUAGCUUCUACAUGUAAGGGCAUUUUGGUGUUUGGGGACAGAUGAAAGUUUCAGUGGUCCAGUAGAAAGGACACACCUUGGUUCAGUUUGCCGUCUUACUGUUAUUUGCAGCUUAGCUUAUCAGUGUUCCUAGUUCCAGAUGAAAUAAUCACUGCAAUGAAAUGUCCAAGUUUUCCCAGCAGGGAGCAUUUAAUGAAGUUCUUAGAACAAGUCUGGGUGAUACACAUUCAUCUGUGUGAGUCUUGAUCUGUCCAGGUUCGCUGGGCUGUUUAGAAUCACUGGGUCUUCAGCCAUUUCCAAAACGCAGAACACAGUUGAUAUUUUAAGCCAAUCAAUGUAUUGAGAGUUCAGCGUGUGUCAGCACAAGAGUAGAUGUCCUGGGAGAUGCAGAAGAAAUGUGAAGCCUGGCCUCUGUUCCCUAGGUGCCUUCAGAGUCAACUUGGCAGCAUCCCACCGUGCACCAUUUUCUGGGCAGCCCCUCUGAUCCUUUUCAUAAGUGUCCACCCCGCAGGCAAUCUUGGCUGAGCACAGAGAAUGGGAUGUUUCACGGGAUGUCUCUGCUGCGACAGUGGAUAUCCUUGCUGGAACAUUCACAGUACUGGUCCCAUUCACAGCUGGGACCACUCAGAUGUUUCACCCCGUCACCCCUGCGUGAACCUGGGGUGCAUCAGAUGAGGUAGUGUUUGUAAGUUUUCUUCUCUGAAAAAUAGUAGCUUUGAUUCUGCUGCUAUCCCAAUUCCUAGAUGUCAGCUUGCCCUGAGCUCUUGGUGGCCUUGCCUCCAAGCUCUCCUGGUAUUUCAUUCUGUGCUCAGUCUUUGUUGUAAAUGGUAGUAUUCCAGAAACUUCCCCAUUGUCAGGUUUCUUGGCUGCUUUUUGUAGGCAGCCCCAAAGGCUGCGUUAAGAGUAUUGAUCACAUUCUUUUAUAGGCAUCGCUAGCCUGUUCAGGAAAGCCCCCUCCUUUCCUGCCAACCACAGCCCCCACCGGUUCAAAGGGCUGCUUCCCGCUCUUGGCCUCCCUGCCCUCCAUGGUGGUGGCCAGUGUAGGCGAAAGAAGGACGUCCCAUUGGGUUGGGGAGCUCCAAGUCACCCACCCGUGAGGCUGAUGGGGGAGUUAGUCACAGAUGAGUCUCCUCCCAUUCUCACCUUUUGCCACCUUUUACAGUUUUCAGAAAAAAAGAAAAAUAGGAACUUUACUUAUGGGUUGCUUGAGAAAGGUAGAAAGUUGGGGGCAGAAAGGACGAUGGCAAAAAUGGUGAGAUCUCCCUUUGAUUUUUAAAUGUAUUCAAACUGUUAAAUUUCUGCAUGUUUUCAUUUCAAAGAUGACAAUUGUUGCAUAUAGACUAUCUCAAAAAUACUUCAUCCAUUUGAGCAAUAUGAAAGAAUAGGCUAGAGAGAAACAGAUUUGGUUUUUCAAGCUAAAAAGAAUAACAGAAAGUGGGCGAGUCUUCAGUGAGCUGUCUGCCUUUGAAACCUAGGAAGUAAACUUAAUUUGGAUGUGCAUUUAGGAGAUGAAGCACUAUAGGUGGUGAAAUGCUCUGGCAAUGAAGCAGGGAAGGGAGCGGGGGGAAAGGAAAUUUGAGCCAAGCAACCUGAAGGUCAGGGGAAGCCGGUCUUAUGGAUGUUAAGGGAGGAAUCCAAGUAGGCAAAGGGGAUGAACAGCAGUGCAAAGGCUCUGGGGCAGCAGGUUGCCCGGUAUGUUCCAGAACAAGAAGGAGGCCAGUGUGGCUGGCAUGGAGAGCUAAGGCUCAAAGGAGAAAGUGAAGAGAAAGAGGUGGUAAAGGAUCAGGAGGAAUUGAGCCCGGCCAGCCGUGCUACUGAUGUUAGCUCACAUGUCACAGUGUGUGAGGGAGAUAGAGCCCUUGGGAACAAUAAUAUGCAGAGCUUUUAAAAAUUUUCAUACUGUAGCCAUCAAUUCCAUCAUCAUGGUGGUGGUAUCCCUGGGUGGUGGUGGUGACUUGGUAGAGUAUACGUCAACUCGAAUUUCUUCCUCAAAAGUAUAUAAAAUUUGAAAAGACCUAGAAGUGAUCUAGUGGAAUGAAGACACUGAGAUACCAUUGAGGUUGGGGAAACUACUGGGACGUGCUUACAGGAUAAACUGCAGAACAAAAGCAGAAGUUUGUAAUCAUGGAAUGACAUGUCUUAUUCUGAAAACUUAACGUUUGUAGCGUACCUUAUAAUUCAUAAGACAUUUAAAAAUGGUAUUGAAUCCCGAUAACCUAUGCGUAGGGUUGGAUCUUGUUGCUAUCCCUGUUUUUUAAUGGAAAAUCUGAGGCCUGAAGAUGGUAGGCCAUGUAUAUGCCUGCCCCGCCAUUGAGCCUGGCUCCUGCUGUUGGAGAAACUUUCCCAGUCUGUAGAGAGAGGAUGUGGUCCUGGCAAGCCUGGCUCCUGCCUGAUUCUGUAUCUUCUGGUAACACACAGCCGUCAUUUAAAAAAAAAAAACACAAGGUCUUUCCCUCUGACAAACUAAAAGCUGAAUCCGCUUAUUUCGAACUCUGCCUUGAGGCAGGAUGCCCCGUGCAUUAUGGUUAACUGUAGGACCUGCUAACCAUCGGCUUAUCAAACAAAUCAAUUUCACUCUUCAGCUAAUUUGGAAAUGAAAAUUAUAGAAGUUAGAAAAAAUGUGCAGAAAAUGUAUUUUUCCAAUGUAUUCCAUUUGUUUCAUAGAGAUCCUGGCUUCACAGGAAAGAGCCAAGGGCAUGGGUUUUGCUGAGGGCAUAAGAGCUUGGGGAAGGUGAGGGCUAGGUGUGUACGGGUGCCCUGAUGUCCUCUUAGCCUGCUGGUGAGGAAAGUGCACGUUUAAUAAAUGGGCUCCAGCCAACUGUGUGCAGUUAUUUGUAGCCUGCAUAAUUUUAAAAAUGUGGUUGAGCAUUUAGGUCUAUCUUCAGAAUUUAGGCUCCAUUUGACUUAGUUUUCCUGAAAUAUGUAGAAAACUAAUGGUGAAAGAGGACCUAAUUCUUAAAUUAUCUGCUUGAACUGUGCUGCUAGUUAUUCCAAGUAGAAUUUGUAAAAUGGUCCAUCAUUCUCUAAGCAAAAUGAGGGAAAUAACAAUUAUUUUAUAGAAAUUUCAUAUGUAUUGAAUAUUACAAAAUCAUGUAACUGGAAAUGUUUAAAUGGUCACGCUGGGCCAGGCACGGUGGCUCACGCCUGUAAUCCCAGCACUUUGGGAGACCAAGGCUGGUGGAUCACAAGAUCAGGAGUUUGAGACCAUCCUGGCCAAUAUGAUGAAACCCUAUCUCUACUAAAAAUAGAAAAAUUAACUAGGUGUGGUGGCACAUGCCUGUAGUCCCAGCUGCUUAGGAGGCUGAGGCAGGAGAAUCGCUGGAACCCGGGAGGCGGAGGUUGCAGCGAGCCGAGAUUGCACCACUGCGCUCCAGCCUGGGCAACAGAGCGAGACUCCAUCUCAAAAAAAAAAAAAAAGGGAAAAUGGUCGAGCUGAUUUUCCAGAAUGGAAUAUCACUGCGUGAUGCUCUCUGGGAAGAGAAGGCAUUAAGUCUGUAACACACAGGACAGAACUAUUGUCUAGUCUGUAUGCAUCUGCUUGAUCCUGAGUUUUGUCACCUUGGUUACUAAGAAGAUGGUUAGAAAGUUACGUCUCUCUUGAAUCCAUUCUUAAAGGCCUUCGAGGACUCAGGCACAGCCUUGGGAAACCAGGAAAUGUGACUGUGUCAAUCAUCACACAGUCCAACUUCCUUUUCGUGUAGGAAAUGUUUUCUUUAUCAUUAAUUGAUCAGUUCUCCCCUUUCCAAACUUCUGGCAAUUUGGGAAAUGGAAUCUUUAUGUUGCUGGGUAUUUUCUUCUUCCACACCUCCUUCUCCUUGCUGGAAAGGAGGGGAGGGCAGAAGACAUGUUUGUGGCCACAUUCCCGGUGUGGCCCGCCUGGACAGGAGCCAGGGUGCACACUGACCUGCACAGCCUCUGGCCCCUGUCCCUGGGCCUGACAGGCAGGAGCAAGGGGCCUGUCCUCACUCUGAAUCCAACUGCUUCUGACUCUGGGCACCCUGCUGGACCCUCCAGGAGAAGUUGGGGCCCACGUUUCUAGGCUGCCCGCUCAUCCAAACCUCCCUCCAUGUCCCUGACCAAAGCAUUUCGCAGAUCUGGGUCCUCUGGUGUGUGAGGCUCCUCCCAGCCCAUGAGCAUUUGAAAAUGUCUACAAGAUCUUUGCCAUUUUAGGUUCUACCGAACCUAAAGAAUGUAUGUUUCCUCUGCUUAGACUUAAGUUUUUGAGUAACUUUAUAGACACUUUGGCAUUUUGGCUGAAAGGGCAUGUGCAGUAACUGAAUAUGACUUGUGCACUGUUUCAGUGCCAGUGGGUCACAUGCAGGGGAGUCGGAGCCAGGGUGGAUGAGGCUGGGAUAUCUACAUGCUUGGUGGGGAGUUGGAGUCAGGGUGGAUGAGGCUGGGAUAUCUACAUGCUUGGUGGGGAGUCGGAAUCAGGGUGGAUGAGGCUGGGAUAUCUACAGGGUUGGUGGGGAGUCGGAAUCAGGGUGGAUGAGGCUGGGAUAUCUACAUGCUUGGUGGGGAGUUGGAGUCAGGGUGGAUGAGGCUGGGAUAUCUACAUGCUUGGUGGGGAGUCGGAAUCAGGGUGGAUGAGGCUGGGAUAUCUACAUGGUUGGUGGGGAGUCGGAAUCAGGGUGGAUGAGGCUGGGAUAUCGACAUGCUUGGUGGGGAGUCGGAAUCAGGGUGGAUGAGGCUGGGAUAUCGACAUGCUUGGUGGGGAGGAGGAGCCAAGGUGGAUGAGGCUGGGAUAUCUACAUGGUUGGUGGGGAGUCGGAAUCAGGGUGGAUGAGGCUGGGAUAUCUACAUGGUUGGUGGGGAGUCGGAAUCAGGGUGGAUGAGGCUGGGAUAUCUACAUGCUUGGUGGGGAGUCGGAAUCAGGGUGGAUGAGGCUGGGAUAUCUACAUGCUUGGUGGGGAGUCGGAAUCAGGGUAGAUGAGGCUGGGAUAUCUACAUGGUUGGUGGGGAGUCGGAAUCAGGGUGGAUGAGGCUGGGAUAUCUACAUGCUUGGUGGGGAGUCGGAGUCAGGGUGGAUGAGGCUGGGAUAUCUACAUGGUUGGUGGGGAGUCGGAAUCAGGGUGGAUGAGGCUGGGAUAUCUACAUGCUUGGUGGGGAGUCGGAAUCAGGGUGGAUGAGGCUGGGAUAUCUACAUGCUUGGUGGGGAGUCGGAAUCAGGGUGGAUGAGGCUGGGAUAUCUACAUGCUUGGUGGGGAGUUGGAGUCAGGGUGGAUGAGGCUGGGAUAUCUACAUGGUUGGUGGGGAGUCGGAAUCAGGGUGGAUGAGGCUGGGAUAUCUACAUGGUUGGUGGGGAGUCGGAAUCAGGGUGGAUGAGGCUGGGAUAUCUACAUGCUUGGUGGGGAGUUGGAGUCAGGGUGGAUGAGGCUGGGAUAUCUACAUGGUUGGUGGGGAGUCGGAAUCAGGGUGGAUGAGGCUGGGAUAUCUACAUGGUUGGUGGGGAGUCGGAAUCAGGGUGGAUGAGGCUGGGAUAUCUACAUGGUUGGUGGGGAGUCGGAAUCAGGGUGGAUGAGGCUGGGAUAUCGACAUGCUUGGUGGGGAGUUGGAGUCAGGGUGGAUGAGGCUGGGAUAUCGACAUGCUUGGUGGGGAGGAGGAGCCAAGGUGGAUGAGGCUGGGAUAUCUACAUGCUUGGUGGGGAGUUGGAGUCAGGGUGGAUGAGGCUGGGAUAUCUACAUGGUUGGUGGGGAGUCGGAAUCAGGGUGGAUGAGGCUGGGAUAUCUACAUGGUUGGUGGGGAGGAGGAGCCAAGGUGGAUGAGGCUGGGAUAUCGACAUGCUUGGUGGGGAGGAGGAGCCAAAGAUGUGGAUUUCCUCUGUCUCCACAUCCUUGGGCAAGGACUGGUGAUCAGCUGCUGCUGUCUUAUUUUAUUUGCUUCUCCAGUAAAUGAACUUUAUAUAGUUGGUAACUUGGCGUUUUCCAUUUUGCAUUACUGAAAUUUCAAUAAAUAGUGCUUUAGUUAGAUGUAAAUCUCUGUCAUUUGUGGCAGAGGAAUUUAAAUGUCGGCCUGCAUUUUGUUGCACCUUUUUGUAUAGAGCAGAGAGAAGGGAAGUGCUGUCUCCCAGUGGCCUGGACCAGGCGGAGUCCAGCCUGUUGAUGAUGCAUUUUGUGUGCUUGGCAUGUGUGACGUGGCAAGGGAUUCGUGUUAUCUUUGGGCAGCUGCCUGAGUAGUAGACAUGUGAGGCCCCUUCCCGGGCAUUUUGUCCUGUCUUCAGGACAUGAAGAAAGCAGCUAGGCAAAGGCACUCUUUGCAGCUUUAAAUGGCCUAGAGUUACCCCCAGAAAAACAAUUCUACUUGUGUUCCACUUCUGUCCAAUUAAAACAAGUUUGUUCAUUUUAUUCUAGGAGCAAUUUGCCAUUAUUUUUGUGCAUUCGGCAGGUGUUUAUUUGCUGCUUGCAGUUGUGGUUGUUCGUGGUGUCAUUCACGAAUACAAUUUUGAACGAGGAAGAGCUGUGAUGACAAAUGCACUAAGAGACACCACUGUGGCUCUCCACAAAUUAGCCAGAACAUAAGGGUGGGAGGAGCCUGUCUUUCCCUGGCAGCACAGGGCUGCCUGGUCUUAAGAAGUCUGUAGUUGAGAACACAGCAUGUGGUUACAUGUAUACAUUAUUUGAAGGUGCACAAAGAAAGCAAAGGGAAGCCAACCACAAAAUGCCAGUUGUGCUAGUAGCAUGUGCUUCUUUAUGAAUGAAAGAACAUACGUAUUUUUUGUAUUAAUUAUUUAUAUAUUUUAUACAUGAAAUCUUAUUUGACAGAUUCCCUGUGACUCCACUGGGGAAUUCAGGGUGGGAGAGGUAGUGCCCCCAUCUUCAUAAGAGGGAGCAGACUUAGAGACAUAGCUGUAGAGAUUACACAGCUGGUAAGAAGUGGUUCCUAGAUGCUAGCCCUGGGGACCCGGCUCUGGUGUGGCCACAGUGCCUUUCACACCUGUAUCCUGAGAGUCGUGGGAAUGGCAUGUAGUUUAAAGUACAGAGAUGGGGGCAUGGAGUCAUUCCUAGGCUCCCAGGGAAGAGCAGGAUGUUUUUGAUAUGGCCGAUUAGGAAGAAUGGGCACUUUGAUCUCUGCAAAGAGAGCCUGCGCUUCAGUGACUAAGUAGGAUUUGACCCUUCAACCUUGACUCUAGUAGAUGGCUCAGUUAAAGGCUACGUGGUGAUUCUUAGGAGGCUUUUAAAUUAGAUAGAUGGAUUUGUCCCUGGAGAGACAAAGCUGAAAUCCUAUAUCACAUAGAUGUUAUAGACCAGGGAGGGGGGAUUUACCUACAGUUAUUUAAGCUUUUAAAGUAGAAAAAAGGUCCAGUUGAAAUGAUAUAUAACAAUAGGCUAUUUGGAGAUGGAUAUAUUGUGAAUAAAUAAUUAUUCUACAUUCUCUUAAUUUGGUAGCAAAAAUAUAAUUAGGUUUUAUAAUUUCUGAUAUAAACAAUAUAAACAUUGUUAUGGUGUACAUAAAAUUUUUUUAGAUUAGUAAGAAAACCAUACGUAUAAACGUGUUAAAUCUGAGAAAAGAAUUACGUCGUUCAUUGGCUAUUUGCGAUUUUAAUGCACCUUAUAUCACUUGGCCCAAAUACUCUUAGGGCAGAAGCAUAAUGCUUACAUUCACAUUCUCAAAUGACCCAAGAAAGAGAAAAGAUUUGGACCCUUAAUGAAUUGUAGAUCUCAUACGUAAACCUUUACUUCUGUUAAAGGAAGAAUGCUAGUGUAGGAUGUAUUUAGCAAUGAUUAGAUUUAUUGAGCACUUUUGUGUUAUGCAUGAAAAAUCAAAUAGAAUAGCGGUAGCUAAGAGAAAUUCAUUCCAAAAGUGUGCUGGCUUCAUAAAUGAUUUUGUGAUGUGUGUCCUCUUUUUCAGUAGGUUCUGUAACAGGAUAGUGUGGUUUUUAGUAGACAGUAUUUCAUUUCUAAAGUUCGUAAGCUUGCAGAUGAUUUUCAAAGGGAUAUCAAUUAGUUUCCCAGCAUAACACACAGAUGGAAAUAUAUGGUGUUUUCCUGACAAAUUUGCCUGUUUUUCUGCGCAUUGUCUUCCUUAGUAAAGGUUGCCAUGUUCAUGUGCUCCUUGAAGGAUUAACAAACAUUCUGUGAAAGGUCAGGUAGUAAAGAGUUUAGGUUCAUUGCCAUGCAGUCUCUGUCACAGCUGCUCCACUCUGCUUAUGGUGUGAAAGCAGCCAUAUGUAAAUGCGUGAGCACGGCUGUGCCCAAAUAAAACUUUAUUUGCAGAGACAGGCAAGCCAGAUCUGGCCUUACUUUACUGACCUCUGCUUGGAACGUCACUCUCCGAGUGGGCUGGAAAGGGUUUUCUUUUCUUCUGGGUCUCACGCAGUCCUAAAGCUUCGUUCUGUUUUAGAAAACUUUGUUCUGUUUUAGAAAACUUUAUUGAGCAUUUCUGCCUGUGAGAAAUGGCAUGAACCACAUGGGGUUUUCGCUUCAAUUUAAUACCUAUAAGCUUUACUAAGGACCUGACCAGCAGGCUGCUGGCUGCUGGGGACAGGGAGGUGAGAAGGCAGGGCCUGGGCAUCAGCUGGCAAGGAAGACCGACCGUGGAGCACACCCUCAUCGACUCACAGGCUUCACUGAAUCUUGUGACAUGCUAACAUGCUGUUUAAUGUCCUUCGAGGAGAGUUUUAUAAAGAGCUAGUGGUUCAUUGUGGAAGUUGACACUCUGGGGCCCCAGGUGACAGUUGCAGGUGUCUCUGCUCCUGCCCUGUCCCACCCAUCUCAUUGUCACCAAAGGGGAGCAGAGAGGAAAGUGUUCUGGGAGAGGUUGGGGACCCUGUUCUUCCACAGACUGGCAGGGAGGCUUCAGCAACUUGUUCGUGCUUCCUGGUCUGGGUUUUAACUAAAAAGGGUCUAACAUUUCAUAAUUUAAAAGAAAGGGUCCACCCGCAAUUCUUGGAACUUUUUGUAUCUCAGGUGUUUGUGCAGAAGAAUCAUCGAUACUGUUUCUCGUAUGGCAUUGGCGGCUGCUGCAGGGGCAGUGGGCAGUUCUUGCCAUAGACGAAUAGCUCACAUCAUGCACAUGGCAGGGUUUUUAACAAUAACACUCAGAAAAGAACCGUGUACAUUCUGUGUUACACAAUCUGCUGUAGCCGUGCACCGUAAAAUUUAUACAGGCUCCUGUGUAGGAAAGUUGAAUGUGUAGAGGGAAUUUGAAGUGCAGUAGGUAAAAGUUUAGGAGGCCUGAUUUUCCUAGUUUUGGAUGAUUAAGACCAGGUCUUAUGUGCAGGAUUAAACAGGAGUUAAAGGGGGAAGAUACCUUUUACCAAACCCAGCCUGUGAGACAACUAGAUUGUCUCAUCCUAUUUUGUAUUGUGUCAUUAACAUCAAGUUGCAACUUGAUAUUCGGAAUUUUUUUUACUAACAAGCAUUCAAAAUGAAAUGAUUUUAAUUGUCAGUGGAAGUGAUGAGCUCAUAGAAAAGAAUGUUUUCAGUCUUUCUCAAGGAGGGCAGCAGGAAAGCAAGUUAUUGCCCCUGUUUGUCAUGGGGAACUUAUUCUUCCAUAUUUUCCUUUUAAGUUAGUUUUUUUUCCAAUUUAAAAGAAAAGUUCAAGUAACCGUUUUUCCUAGAAUCUCUGGCUUUUGUUAUCAUACCCAACCUUACCUUUUUUUUUUUUUUCAUGUUCUUAGAGUGUCUUGCUUUAGUAAAGUCUGGAGAUACUAAAUUAUCGGGUUUAUUUUUCUCAGAAUUGCUCCUGCAACUGAAAAGUCAAUUUUCCCUUGUAAUUCUGUGCUUAACAUAAAAGGCUGAAACUGGGCACUGAGAUGUACCUGUACGAUAUGUUUGAGCUCAUGGAAGGUUUCAUUGCUUUCGGAAUCACAUUUGCUACUAGAAAUACAAAUUUUAAUUUUAAGAAGUGUAUCGUUUCAUUUUGUCAAGUACAUCAGUAUUUGUAACACUCCUAAUUCAGCUAUGGCUGAAAAUGUGAAAGCAUCUUUACCUAGUCCAUGAAUUUGGCCUCUGGGUAGUCCAGUGUUGCUCACCAAAGGCCUGUGAGGCCCCAUGUCCCACAGCCGUGCCAUGGGGCCCUACGUGGUGGCCGUAAGCCCCUCUGCAGAGAGGACCGGGGCCUCCCUGGGCAGAGCUACCACGACCCAGGUGUAUAUCCUGGAUUUUGAACAUCGAAAUGUAACAUUGGAGGCAAACAUGUCCAAACCCAAAUUGUCAUGAGAAAUUAUGAAGAAAAAGGAUUGGUGAGUCAGACUGUGUGCCUAAAAUGCUGCCUGAUUUUAUUGGCUGGAGCAAAUUGACCUUAUUUCCAACAUGUUCUAGGCUUGAUGCCCACUUCAGUUUUCUGUAAUGUGAUUGCAGUCAUGGUGCCCAGCUCCGUGUGACAUGUCAUUGUUGGGACAUUGUUCCAUAUAUUACAAGGAAGCUUUCCUCCUUGUCUUAAUCACAAUGUUUUCUAGUGAUUUGUUUUCUUUCCUCCUUUCUUUCGGGGGAGUCAAGUUGAGCAGUUUGAAGGUGGAGCUUUUACUGACAGCUCUCUCCUUCAUUUGCAUUCUGAUUGCUCUUUUAAGUGGAGGAGAAAAGGGGAGGAAUUAUUGCCCAUCUGCAGGGCAUUAUGGUGAGUGGCACAGGGGACUGUAUCCCACGUAUGAAUGUCAUCUGUCACAAGCGACAGCAGAAAGGAGAUGCGGAGUGGAUACACUGCACGACAUGUCACAUGGAACAACUCUCAUCUCUGCUAAAAGUGUUUUUGUUUGUUGGUUUUAUUUGCUCAAAUAACUCUACGUGGAUACGUCUGUGGAUGGAUUUCCUUACAAAGCAACGUCUAAGGGACAGAGUAGUACAGUGUGUAAUGAGUGAUGUGACAAAUUCAAUGAGUAUCAGUAAGUUUACAUUUUUUAUAUAGAUUACCUGUAGCAGCAGGUGUGGUGUGUGGUGUUCUGUCAUUGUGUUCAUGAGCAACACGUGAGUCUUAUUCUUUUCUUUUUGGUUUUGCCAUUACAGCUGAUGAAUUCAGAAAAUCUCUUCCUUCUUAGUGAAUAUUCACGGUAGAACAGCCAUAAAAUUAAUAAUUCUUUGCUUCUACUAAAAUGAACACAGAUAAUACAACAAAUAAAUUUUUGCUGGAAUCUCAUCUUCAGGAAGCCUGAAGUUUGAUGAUAUUUAAAAGUUGAGGAUGUCAGAUGAUUAGUGUUAGAAAAUUGUUGGUGUGUUUUUUUCCCCUGGUCAGGAUGAACCAGGCUGAUUUUCAGGGUGAGGGAUAACUUCAGUUACUUUGAAAGUAAAUGAAUAUAAAGGCAAAAGUUUACCCUCAUUCCUAGGUUUGAAUCUCUGGAGUGUUUUCCAGCUUUCUUCUUCCUGGGGUAGGGGAGUGUCACUGAUGAGUGGGUGGCUGUCAGGUGGGUGGCAGGUAUCGUGUUGCCGUGGUGGUUUCAACCAGGGGCACCAGCUCUUGGUGUUUGGUGUCUGAAAGCUGUGUGUGAACUACAGAGAGCCCUCCUGAGCCCUUGCACGUGUUAAUCAUUUAGCCCUAUGCCUGGGGCCUUUAAUAGUAUGUGUGGCAAAGAUUCUACCACCAGCUCAAUUGGAAAAAGGUAUUUGAGACAUCAGUUCAGGCAGAUGGCUUCUGUCUUAGACCUUCUUUCUCUAACAAAUGAAUAAAAAUUAUACUUAGGGUUUCAAAACAGAUCCCUUUUUUCCACCAUAAAUUCUUAGUACUGAUGCUUCUUAGGUCUCUGUUGUAUCCCAAUCCCUCUGCUGUGGCUGGCAGGUCCUAGUCAUCUGGGUCCAAUCUGAGGUGUGCUCCAGCCUUUUCCUCGCUGCCCUUUUGCACCUCCGCAAAGGAUUGUUUCCGCUGGUUAAUUCUGUUUAAAUCACCGCGAGCGCUUCCAAGCAUCCCAAAGGGUCACCUGGAAUCAGCCGCAGCCUCCUGGGGUGGGGGGAUGUCUAAGCAAGCAGGUCUGUGAGAGGCAGGGCACUGAGGAGCAAAACCACAGGCCUGUGCCCGCUGAGCACACCCAGACCACAGUUCUGGCUUUACCGUGAAAGGAGGCGGCCGUUGAAAGCAGUUGUAUUAACCUAACAGGAGACAGGCUAGGUGAGACACAUGCACGUUGGGCUUGCGCUGGUGCACGUGUGUGCAUGUAGAUGUGUGUGAAACGCCGCACAGCUGACACCCCCAUGCCUGGCUCUGAGCGGGUGGUCAUCCUGUUUCUGGUCUCCCUCACCUCAGCUCUCUUGUGUCCUUUGAGUGUGCCAGUAACAGGUUCAUCUUCCUGUAAUAACCCUUCCUUCCUCCCUUCUCCUUCCCCUUCCUCCCUCCCUCCUCCUUUUUUUUUCUUUCCUUCCUCUUCCCCUUCCUGUUCCUCUUCCGCUUGCCCUUCCCUUUCCCCUUUCCUUUUUUUUUUUUGUCAGCCAUCUUCCCCCAAGUUAUCAGUGAGGCCUUGCACCAGAGUAGAAUUUAAAAAAGAAAAUUGUUGAAAGGUCAUUGCAUGAAUAAAUGCAUGGAUGAAUUA
Long non-coding RNA from Pan troglodytes (chimpanzee), 22574 nucleotides. RefSeq lists it as uncharacterized. The transcript is spliced from 2 exons. NCBI's taxonomy places the organism in Eukaryota, Metazoa, Chordata, Mammalia, Primates, Hominidae. The record is from RefSeq and is a predicted model, not a curated record.